ACAGAUUAGACAUUAUUUUAUUUUUUAAAAUGAACCAAUAUUCUUUACUUAAAUUAUAUAUGAUCUCUUAUUCAAGAAAGAAAAAAAUAUAGUUAAUUCGAAAAGGAGGAAAGAGGGAGCAUAUUUUACUUUGCUGCCAAAAUUACUUAAAGAUGACCUCAAGUUUUAUAAUUACAUGCGCAUGAAAAAAAUAAUUAAAAAUAAAAUUACAAAAAAGAAAACUAAUUUUAUCAAGAAUCUUAUUACACCUGAUGAAAAAUUGAUAAUUACACUGAGAUACCUAGCAACUGGUAAUUCAUAUGUCACCUUGUCAUAUUCUCAUAAACUUGGGGUAUCAACUAUAAAACUAAUAAUAGGAGAAACCACAAAAGCUAUAUGGGAUAUUAUUUAACCCAUCCAUAUGAAGGUCCCAACAUUGGAGAUGUUUGAGGAAGUUGCUAAGAGCUUUGAUGAAAGGUGGAACUUCCCAAACUGUAUAGGUGCCAUUGAUGGGAAACAUUGUAAAACAAAAAAGCCUCCACAUUCUGGAACCCAAUUUUAUAAUUACAAGCAUUUGGAGACACAAUUCCUACUUUAUGGAAUCAACAAAGCAUUAAGAAUACCUCUAAUCAAAACAAAAAUAUUCAAAAUUUAUUUUCUUAUUAUUUUAAUAAUGUUAAUAUUUUGCCC
Molecule: long non-coding RNA, 669 nt
Organism: Gordionus sp. m RMFG-2023
Lineage: Eukaryota; Metazoa; Nematomorpha; Gordioida; Chordodea; Parachordodidae
Exons: 4
Source: RefSeq, a predicted model, not a curated record